AAGUAGGAACCUCCUGCUGGGCUCGUGACGGCUUCUGUGCGCUCCGCGGCGGGAAGCGCCUUCCCCACAGAUCACCCCCCAACUUGCCCUUCAAGUUCUACUUCAGUUUGAUAAGGCUAUAAAUGCAGCAUUGGCUCAGAGGGUCAGGAACAGAGUCAAUUUCAGGGGCUCUCUAAAUACGUACAGAUUCUGCGAUAAUGUGUGGACUUUUGUACUGAAUGAUGUUGAAUUCAGAGAGGUGACAGAACUUAUUAAAGUGGAUAAAGUGAAAAUUGUAGCCUGUGAUGGUAAAA
RNAcentral lists this small RNA (293 nucleotides) under Pan troglodytes (chimpanzee). Its description in RNAcentral is "processed transcript". Lineage: Eukaryota; Metazoa; Chordata; Mammalia; Primates; Hominidae. The record is from RNAcentral.